Molecule: ribosomal RNA, 301 nt
Filed under: uncultured bacterium
Lineage: Bacteria
Description: partial 16S ribosomal RNA
Rfam family: Bacterial small subunit ribosomal RNA
Source: RNAcentral
CAGUAGCCGCGGUAAUACAGAGGGUGCGAGCGUUAAUCGGAUUUACUGGGCGUAAAGCGUGCGUAGGCGGCUUCUUAAGUCGGAUGUGAAAUCCCCGAGCUUAACUUGGGAAUUGCAUUCGAUACUGGUUAGCUAGAGUGUGGGAGAGGAUGGUAGAAUUCCAGGUGUAGCGGUGAAAUGCGUAGAGAUCUGGAGGAAUACCGAUGGCGAAGGCAGCCAUCUGGCCUAACACUGACGCUGAGGUACGAAAGCAUGGGGAGCAAACAGGAUUAGAUACCCCAGUAGUCCCUGUCUCUUAUAC